GACUGCCAGGUCUGGUCCUGCCGGGGCGGCUGCUCGGGCCGCUGGGCGCCGCCACCGCCCUCGCGCUGGGCUCCCUCCCGCGCAGCUGGGACACGUGGAGGUGGGGGUGGGGGUGCUGGUGCUGCUGGCCCGCCUAGAGGGAGUCUGGCCGGCUUCGGGGUUGGAAGCCCCCAGAGCAGUGGAGAAAAACAGGUAGAGAAACCAGACAGGCAGUAGGGUGAGUGGAACAGACACUUCAUCAAUUCAUUUGUACAAUACCUAGAACAACUAGACCCUGGAGACACAGCCUGGACCACUCCAGACAAGACAAUAAAUAAACAAGCAAACAUGGUUCUUUGGGGGUGGUGGUAAGUGCUAGUAAGAGGAAAAAAACAAACUAAAACAAACAAAAAAAAAAAACAAAAAAAAAAGGUCAAGGUGGCAAUGAUGGGGCAGGGAGGAAAGAUGCUUUGCAGAAUGGAGUGGGAACAUGGACCUUUAAUAGGGUGACUUUUUCUUUUUUAUAUUUUAGAGACGGGUCUUUGUCCUGUUGCUCAGGUUGGAGCGCAGUGGUGCAAUCAUAGCUAACUGCAGCCUAGACCUUCUGUGCUCAAGCAAGCCUUCCACUUCAACUUCCCAACUAGCUAGAGCUACAGGCAUACACCACUAUGCCUGGCUAAUUUUGUUUAUUUUUGUAGAGAUGGGGUCUGCUAUGUUGCCCUGGCUGGUCUGGAACUGCUGGGUCAAACAGUCCUCCCGCCUUGGCCUUUCAAAGCACUGGGAUUCCAGGCGUGAGCCAGUGCUCUUCUCCUGCAGUGACUUUUUUUUUUUUUUUUUAGACAGAUUCUUGCUCUGUCACCCAGACUUGAGUGCAGUGGUGCGAUCUUGGUUCACUGCAACCUCUGCCUUUCGGGUUCAAGCGAUUUUCCUGCCUCAGCCUCCCAAGUAGCUAGGAUUAUAGGUGCCUGCCACCACGCCCUGCUAAUUUUGUAUCUUUAGUAGAGACUGGGUAUCAGCACGUUGGCCAGGCUGGUCUUGAACUCCUGACUUGAGGUCAUCUGCCAGCCUCGGCCUCCAAAAUGCUGGGAUUACAGGCGUGAGCCAUCGUGCCUGGCCAUGACUUUUCAACAGAUUUGAAGAAGUGGGGUCCUGAGAAAAUCCUGGGUAACAACAGCAUCAGAGGUAACAGUUUUUUGUUUGUUUGUUUGUGUUUUUUAGAUGGAGUCUCCCUCUGUCACCCAGGCAGGCUGGAGUGCAGUGGCUCGAUCUCAGUUUACCGCAACCUCCACCCACAGGAUUCAAGCGAUUCUCCUGCUUGGCCUCCCAAGUAGCUGGGUCUACAGGCGUGCAUCACCAUGCCAGGCUAAUUUUUGUAUUUUUAGUAGAAACAGGGUUUCACCAUGUUGGCCAGGCUGGUCUCGAACCCCUGACCUCAGGUGAUCCGCCUGCCUGGGCCUCCCAAAGUGCUGGGAUUACAGGCCUGAGCCACCCCGCUCAACUGGGAGCAGCUUUUUUUUUUUUUUUUUUUGAGACGGAGUCUCGCUCUGUUGCCCAGGCUAGAGUGCAGUGGCACGAUCUCGGCUCACUGCAAGCUCUGCCUCCCGGGUUCACGCCAUUCUCCUGCCUCAGCCUCCCAAGUAGCUGGGACUACAGGCACCUGCCAACAUGCCUGGCUAAUUUUUUGUAUUUUUAGUAGAGAGGGGGUUUCACUGUAUUAGCCAGGAUGGUCUCGAUGUCCUGACCUCGUGAUCCGCCCGUCUCGGCCUCCCAAAGUGCUGGGAUUACAGGCGUGAGCCACUGCGCCCGGCCUUGGGAGCAGCUCUUAAAUGGCAAAAUUCAUGUAGCCAGGUGAGCCUGUGAAAGAACAGCAGGAAGCCAGCCUGUCUGGAAUGGAGUGAACCACAACAGGGCAGAUGUCAAGGGAGACUGAGCAGGGGCCUUGGGGAGGAGUGUAGAUUAAAUUCCAAGGGAGAUGAGUGACCCUUAGAGGGUAUUAGGUGGGUACCAGCAUUAAUAGUGGAUCUGUGGAUUAAAUGAGCAUAUUAGCCCUGUUCUGUAGGAGGAAAUUGGGGCAUAGAGUAGCAAAACUACUUUCCUGAACGCACACAAUAUUAAACUGCACCCCUGGGAACCCUGCCUUGCUGCUAAUACCUGCCUUCUAGCCUAACUGCCACCCUCCCACCCCAGGGGCAGACAGGCAACCUUUCCAGCCUGGGGUGGGGCAGAGCUCACAGCAGGGACUCUGCACUCUGCACGUAGCUCAGGCUCUCAUUCUUGGUUCUGCUCUUAAGACUGGGUCCCCACCCUCUUCCCCAUAAGACUACACUGGGCUGGGUUCCUUUCAGCUCGAGGAAGCCGUCUUAGGAACUAGGAACUGGGCCCUACACAGGGGCCUCAGCCCCGAGCUUCACAUAACUUAUCUCCUACAAAUUUUACCACGUGCAUGGUGAUCUGGGUUUGCAGUCCCAUUUUACUGCUGAAGAGACCCAGAGACGAUCACAGCUCUUAAACGGCAUUUGAACCCAGGCUGGCUGGUGACAAAAUGUGGGCUUUGCCUUGCAUGGCCAGAUUUCUGGAUGUAGGGCAUCCUGGGAUUUGCAAGGGACAAACGGCAUACCCUACCCCUCCGAAACCGCCUUGAGCGCAAGCAGGAAAAGAGCAGGCACUAAGCAUGUGAUAAGACCGCCACCGUGUGGCGAAGAUGAGCAACCACAGGGUCAGUUUCCCAAGCCUGAGCCUGAAGAAGGAAGGGGGUUGCAGGGGAGGACGAAAGGACAGAGCACACCAACACAGACUCACACCUUUCCCUAAUACUUUAUUGGUUACCUCUAGGCCUGUGUGCGGCUGGGUGGGCUUGGGGGAGGGCGUCACUAUUCAGCUUCUAGGUGGAGGCAUGAGAAGGCCUUGGCCUAGCCCUCCAGGGUCCCAUACUGUGGAGUUUGGAGGGGCAGGUCUGGCCUUUCCUGGGUCAGCAUAGGGCACCCAGGUGGGGGCACAGGCUAGACGCACGGACGAUCACACGCGUGGACCCGCGUUCUCAGCGCCAAGUGAGCCCUGGGCCGCGAAGCCUUUUAUGCCCGGCCCGAACCAAGAC
This 3073-nucleotide long non-coding RNA is filed under the name Homo sapiens (human). RNAcentral describes it as "HSALNT0396177". The record is from RNAcentral. Lineage: Eukaryota; Metazoa; Chordata; Mammalia; Primates; Hominidae.